CCGCCUGGGGAGUACGGCCGCAAGGUUAAAACUCAAAUGAAUUGACGGGGGCCCGCACAAGCGGUGGAGCAUGUGGUUUAAUUCGAUGCAACGCGAAGAACCUUACCUGGUCUUGACAUCCACGGAAGUUUUCAGAGAUGAGAAUGUGCCUUCGGGAACCGUGAGACAGGUGCUGCAUGGCUGUCGUCAGCUCGUGUUGUGAAAUGUUGGGUUAAGUCCCGCAACGAGCGCAACCCUUAUCCUUUGUUGCCAGCGAUUAGGUCGGGAACUCAAAGGAGACUGCCAGUGAUAAACUGGAGGAAGGUGGGGAUGACGUCAAGUCAUCAUGGCCCUUACGACCAGGGCUACACACGUGCUACAAUGGCGCAUACAAAGAGAAGCGACCUCGCGAGAGCAAGCGGACCUCAUAAAGUGCGUCGUAGUCCGGAUUGGAGUCUGCAACUCGACUCCAUGAAGUCGGAAUCGCUAGUAAUCGUGGAUCAGAAUGCCACGGUGAAUACGUUCCCGGGCCUUGUACACACCGCCCGUCACACCAUGGGAGUGGGUUGCAAAAGAAGUAGGUAGCUUAACCUUCGGGAGGGCGCUUACCACUUUGUGAUUCAUGACUGGGGUGAAGUCGUAACAAGGUAACCGUAGGGGAACCUGCGGUUGGAUCACCUCCUUACCUUAAAGAAGC
RNAcentral lists this ribosomal RNA (676 nucleotides) under Salmonella enterica subsp. enterica serovar Mbandaka. Its description in RNAcentral is "bacterial SSU rRNA". It matches the Rfam family "Bacterial small subunit ribosomal RNA", at positions 869 to 1533 of the family's 1533-position model. The record is from RNAcentral. Lineage: Bacteria; Pseudomonadati; Pseudomonadota; Gammaproteobacteria; Enterobacterales; Enterobacteriaceae.